RNAcentral lists this unclassified non-coding RNA (234 nucleotides) under Hevea brasiliensis (rubber tree). The record is from RNAcentral. Lineage: Eukaryota; Viridiplantae; Streptophyta; Magnoliopsida; Malpighiales; Euphorbiaceae.
UUUUUUUUUUUUUUUUUUUCUGACUUGAGUGUGUUUCUCCUUUUUUGCCUAUUUCAUAAAUGGGGAUUAUCAUUAUCAGACAAUAUUAUUUAGGUAAAUUUUCAUUUCUGAGAUUAUACAUGAGUAUGGGAUAAAGAAUCUUUUAUCCUCUAACUCUUCUCUGUGUAUUCCAUGGGAACUUGGUUUUCUUGAAUUUCUGUCAUCUAUCUGAAUGGACUAAUUUUCAUGAAUUUG